UGGCCUUAUUAUCAGUGGCUACAGGAGGAUAUGGUUUUGUGCUUCCUAGCUACCAGUGAUUUUCAAAAAAUCCAGGAUGACUUCAAACGUUUCUUUCCAGUUCAUUUGCGUUAUAAAUUUUAUAUCAUCAUUUGAUAUGUACACACACGUAGUGCACAAUUUAAUUACUAAUAAAAAUAUGGGCCUAUGCUUGUUUCUCAGGUAUAUUUGAUCACCCGGCACGCAUGUUGAGCUUUUCAAUGGCAAUAGACCGUGCCUCGAUGCUUUUUGCGGGCUGUCCCCCAAAUAUGGAAAAAAGGAUGAUUUUUCUUGCUGGAAGCCAGUCUCGUAGACCUAUUUGGUACGGAUGCAGUGGAUUAUGGAUCGAAUUUGAAGGGCUUGGGUGUAGCUGUUGAUGUUGUCAACUUUUAUCUAGAGGAUAAGCCCAAAAAUACAAGGAUGGAGCUUGAUGCAUUUGUUGAAGCUGCCAACUCUAAUGACAACAGCCACAUUGAACACGUUAAACCUCGAUCUUCUAUUCCUGAGGUCCUGGACAAGUCUAUUUUAAGAAAGACUCUCAGUUUCUCCACAAGAAGAGCAAAACGGCAGAACCAUGCUGCUGGAGAUGAUAAACAUGUCCGAUCUGAAGCAUUUUCUUUAGAACGUGAGGGCGAGAAGUUGGGCAAGAGGAAGAGGGAGGCAAUCUAUCCUUAAAGUGUUUCAGUGUCGGUCUAUGCUACUUAUUGGAAUUAAUUUUGACACAAGUUUACUUGGUCAAGUUGGUUUAAGUUAGCUAGUAGUAUGGGUUUAAAUAAGAAGAGUGGUAGAUGUUUGACCGAUUCCUAAGCUUGUGAAAUAUAGAUCAUGGAUACAUGAAGUGUACUCUAACCAAAGAAUAGGGCCAUAUCUACCAAGUCUUUAGGAAGUUUAUAGUAUUUUUAUCAUUUUCUGUUAGUCCACGUUGUAGUCUAGUAUGGCUACUUAUAGCCUCUUUCAUGUUUCAAUCUAAUGAGAAGUGUCGUAAGUUUC
RNA transcript from Erigeron canadensis, 1008 nucleotides. RefSeq lists it as uncharacterized. The record is from RefSeq and is a predicted model, not a curated record. The transcript is spliced from 2 exons. NCBI's taxonomy places the organism in Eukaryota, Viridiplantae, Streptophyta, Magnoliopsida, Asterales, Asteraceae.